This is a non-coding RNA of Brassica napus (rape), 151 nucleotides long. NCBI's taxonomy places the organism in Eukaryota, Viridiplantae, Streptophyta, Magnoliopsida, Brassicales, Brassicaceae. The record is from Rfam.
AUCUUUGCGCUUGGGGCAAUGACGCAGCUAAUGAGGUACUAACCGAGGCGCGUCUAUUGCUGGUUGAAAACUAUUUCCAAACCCCCUCCUGAGCCUAAGCUUGUCUUGGGCUCUCGAGAAUUUCUGGAAGGGCUCCCUUCGGGGUAAAGCC